Molecule: RNA transcript, 4234 nt
Organism: Piliocolobus tephrosceles (Ugandan red Colobus)
Lineage: Eukaryota; Metazoa; Chordata; Mammalia; Primates; Cercopithecidae
Gene: RNF14
Gene name: ring finger protein 14
Exons: 10
Source: RefSeq, a predicted model, not a curated record
GUGGGAGUGACGGUGGUCGCGCCGGCAGCGCCGCCUUGGGCCUGCGGGAGGCGCCCGAGAGACAGGGGCAACCACGGCGGCUGCGCAGAGUCGUCUCCACGCCGGCUGCCCCACCAGCGGGAUCCGCCUGGCUCAGCUGACAGCUCCCGAGAACGGAAGAGGCGGUGCGCCGGUUGAGCAGGGAGUUUCUAGGCCUGGUCGGCUGGCGGCGAUGGCAGGAUUUUCAUAGUAUAUGUAGUAUGAGUUCCACAUCUUGGCCUCUUUAUCCAGCUUCAGCGGUCUCAGCUCCACCAGUUAGAGAAUAAAUGGGAUUUGCAUGAACUCCACUCUGAGCUGAAAUACAGACUGUGGUGUUAAUAUCCUUUUCUUCUGAUUGUUAUUAACAGGUCCUCAGAAAAUUAAAUGUCGUCAGAAGACCGAGAAGCUCAGGAGGAUGAAUUGCUGGCCCUGGCAAGUAUUUACGACGGAGAUGAAUUUAGAAAAGCAGAGUCUGUCCAAGGUGGAGAAACCAGGAUCUAUUUGGAUUUGCCACAGAAUUUCAAGAUAUUUGUGAGCGGCAAUUCAAAUGAGUGUCUCCAGAAUAGUGGCUUUGAAUACACCAUUUGCUUUCUGCCUCCACUUGUGCUGAACUUUGAACUGCCACCAGAUUAUCCAUCCUCUUCCCCACCUUCAUUCACACUUAGUGGCAAAUGGCUGUCACCAACUCAGCUAUCUGCUCUAUGCAAGCACUUAGACAACCUAUGGGAAGAACACCGUGGCAGUGUGGUCCUGUUUGCGUGGAUGCAAUUUCUUAAGGAAGAGACCCUAGCAUACUUGAAUAUUGUCUCUCCUUUUGAACUCAAGAUUGGUUCUCAGAAAAAAGUGCAGAGAAGGACAGCUCAAGCCUCUCCCAACACAGAGCUAGAUUUUGGAGGAGCUGCUGGAUCUGAUGUAGACCAAGAGGAAAUUGUGGAUGAGAGAGCUGUGCAGGAUGUGGAAUCAUUGUCAAAUCUGAUCCAGGAAAUCUUGGACUUUGAUCAAGCUCAGCAGAUAAAAUGCUUUAAUAGUAAAUUGUUCCUGUGCAAUAUCUGUUUCUGUGAGAAGCUGGGUAGUGAAUGCAUGUACUUCUUGGAGUGCAGGCAUGUGUACUGCAAAGCCUGUCUGAAGGACUACUUUGAAAUCCAGAUCAGAGAUGGCCAGGUUCAGUGCCUCAACUGUCCAGAACCAAAGUGCCCUUCGGUGGCCACUCCUGGUCAGGUCAAAGAGCUAGUGGAAGCAGAGUUAUUUGCCCGUUAUGACCGUCUUCUCCUCCAGUCCACCUUGGACCUGAUGGCAGAUGUGGUGUACUGCCCCCGGCCGUGCUGCCAGCUGCCUGUGAUGCAGGAGCCUGGCUGCACCAUGGGUAUCUGCUCCAGCUGCAAUUUUGCCUUCUGUACUUUGUGCAGGUUGACCUACCAUGGGGUCUCUCCAUGUAAGGUGACUGCAGAGAAAUUAAUGGACUUACGAAAUGAAUACCUACAAGCAGAUGAGGCUAAUAAAAGACUUUUGGAUCAAAGGUAUGGUAAGAGAGUGAUUCAGAAGGCACUGGAAGAGAUGGAAAGUAAGGAGUGGCUAGAGAAGAACUCAAAGAGCUGCCCAUGUUGUGGAACUCCCAUAGAGAAAUUAGAUGGAUGUAACAAGAUGACAUGUACUGGCUGUAAGCAAUAUUUCUGUUGGAUUUGCAUGGGUUCUCUCUCUAGAGCAAACCCUUACAAACAUUUCAAUGACCGUGCUUCACCAUGUUUUAAACGGCUGUUUUAUGCUGUGGAUGUUGAUAACGAUAUUUGGGAAGAUGAGGUUGAAGACUAGUUAACUACUGCUCAAGAUAUGGAAGUGAAUUGUUUUUCCCUAAUCUUUCGUCAAGUACACAAAGUAACUUUGCGGGAAAUUUAGGGUACUACUCAUUCACUCUUCCUGUGUAGAAGCUAUGGAAGAACAAGGUUUAUAUUUUCAUGUGGUACUACUGAAGAAGGUGCAUUCAUACAUUUUUAAAUGAUCCCUUCUAGGACACCACGUUAUACAUUUAGUCGCCAUGUCUCCUCAGACCCCUCUCAGCUGUCACAGUUGUCUCAUCUGUUUUUAUUGUGAUAUAAACAUUAAUUAUACCUUGGACUGAGCAGGAGCCAAAACACUUUUUGAAGACACAUUACCUAAUCCUAGCAGGCUCAGCAAAUCAGUGACUUCUUUUUGACUGAGGUCUUUUGUAGCUUUAAAUCAGUUACUUCUCAGGAUGCUUCAGUUUUAGGCUGUUCCCCUAUUCUGGUAAUUUUCCUGCUCAGCUUCUUGAAAAACAUCAUUAAACACUGGGCAAGUUGAUCAAGUCAGGAAGUCAGCUGGACCCAUUAGACUGUGCACUGGUGUGAGAAUCAGCCUGCCAUCUUGGCUACAUCCCAAAGUUUGUGGAGUAGAUGCAUCCCUUCCUGUUGACUUGUGGAGGAGCUGGUGAACGUAAGAAAGGCUCAGAAUCAGAAGCCACAUUCCCAGACAGAUUUGUGGUGUCAGCAGUCUAUUUUUUUUUUAAUUUUUAUUUUUGAGACGGAGUCUUGCUGUCACCAGGCUGGAGUGCAGUGGCGCAAUCUCGGCUCACUGCAACCUCCGCCUCCUGGGUUCAAGUGAUUCUUCUGCCUCAGCCUCCCAAGUAGCUGGGAUUACAGGUGCCCAUGACCAAACCCAGCUAAUUUUUUAAAUUUUUUUAUUUUUUUAUUUUUAGUAGAGAUGGGGUUUCACCAUAUUGGCCAGGCUGGUUUUGAACUCCUGACUUCAAGUGAUCCACCCACUUCAGCCUCCCAAAGUGCUAGGAUCACAGGUGUGAGCCACCAUGCCCAGCCCAAAGUCAUUUGCCCAUUUUUUUAGUAGUAGACAGUUCUAAUUUACAUUAGUAAUCUCUUAAUAUACUUAGUAUUUUUUUUUCUGUCAAGAGAGUAAUGAGAGUUAAUUAGAGGAGAUAAUAAUAAAGUUGUUCAUGUGGUUGUCUGCUUUGAAAGGGAAUUUCAGAAUUGUGACUGGAGUUUGGAUCUCCCACCUAGUAUUAACUUUGCCAUAAGCAUCACCAGCAGGUGGCAGCAGUUCCCAUGUUAUAAAAAUACAGUCCCUAGUUAAGACAGGUAUAGAGUAUGUUGUUUUGUUACAGAAGUAGAUUUAAUUUCUGGUAUUUAAAUUUUCCUCAUUAUAUUUAACUAUAGUCUGUUUUAUACUUUAGUAGACAGAAUGGUAUUUAACGAUACUAUCAAGGCAGGAACAGCAGUAUUACCAGAAAUUUUUAAAUACUCAAAAGUGUAGAUGAACCACAGUUGACAUCUUAUGCAAUUGUUACAUAGCAGAGUGUCACUCCUGAUAGUGGCACUUAACCUUCAGCCACCAAAGUAGGGAAAUUAAGUUGUAUAUGAAGCUCCUAAGUAGGACCAAGGAAUUGUAACACCAUGGUGCCCUCUGAUGCUGGUAAGAGUAGCCAGCCUGCUCCCCAAACCUUAGCUUAACUAAAAAAAAUCAGGCAGGACAGUGUGGUCAGAAAUCUGGCUAUGGGAGCUUUAGGGGUAUUCUUAACAAAUGCUUAUGGUAAUAAUCAACUUUCACCACUCAUCGUUGAGACCAUACAGUUUCUCAGGUUGUCUGAAAAUUUACCACUCCAAGGACUCCCACAUUUCUCUGAGCCAGAGGAUGCUUUCGAGAAGAUUGUGUACAUUGGAAACUUAGGGAGAUUUGAUGCUGAAGUCGCUAAGUACAAAGUCAACAGUCACUUUUUUUCCUUGCUUGAAUCUCUUUUUUUUCCCUUCAUUAUAAAAACAAACCAAAAAAGGAAAAACAACUCAUACUAAUACAACAUAAAUACAUGUAAAUUUUAAAAUCGAUUGUGUGUCUUACCUCAGUACCAUUCGAAUUUGUGCAACCUAUAGUAUUUCCUAGAAUAACUCACUUAUUUAACAAAUACUGAUGGAAUACCCUGCAAUGGGCCUUACUCUUUUUCAAAGUGGUGAGAAUGUAGCAGUAAAUAAAACAGACAUAAUCUCCCUGCCCAUGUGGAACUUAGAUUCUGGUGGAAGGAAAGAGACACUAAGUAAAGUAUCUGGUUCAUCAGAAGAUAAGUAGCAUGGGGCUGUGCACAGUGGCUCCCACCUGUAAUCCCAGUGCUUUGAGAGGCUGAGGUGAGAGGAUCACUUGAAGCCAGGAGUUUGAGACCAGUCUGGGCAACACAGAAAAACCCCAUCUCUCUUAAAAA